UUACAUCUAAAAAGUCAGUGUACAUAUCUUAAUUAAAAAUACUUUAGUGCUAGAAAUGCUAACAAUCACCUGAACCUUCAGCAAGGUGUGAUCUUUUUGCUGGUGGAGGGUCUCGACUCAAUGUUUAUGGCUGCUUACUGAUCACAGUGGUGGCUGCUGAAGGUUGGGGCAGCUGUGGCAAUUUCUGAAAAUAAGACAACAAUAAAGUUUGCCACGUCAAUUAACUCUCCUUCUCAUGAAAGAUCCCUUGUAGUAUGCAAUACCGUUUGAUAGAAUUUGCUUUGCAAAACAAAAAUGUGUUGAAUUUAU
Sapajus apella (tufted capuchin) is the source of this 309-nucleotide long non-coding RNA. RefSeq lists it as uncharacterized. The transcript has 3 exons. NCBI's taxonomy places the organism in Eukaryota, Metazoa, Chordata, Mammalia, Primates, Cebidae. The record is from RefSeq and is a predicted model, not a curated record.